GACGUAGGGGGCGAGCGUUGUCCGGAUUUAUUGGGCGUAAAGGGCGCGUAGGCGGCCGCUUGCGUCGGAUGUGAAAGCCCGGGGCUCAACCCCGGAACAGCAUCCGAUACGGGGCGGCUGGAGACCGGGAGAGGAGGGUGGAAUAGCCAGUGUAGAGGUGAAAUUCGUAGAUAUUGGCUGGAACACCGGUGGCGAAAGCGGCUCUCUGGCCCGGUUCUGACGCUGAGGCGCGAAAGCGUGGGGAGCGAACAGG
Molecule: ribosomal RNA, 253 nt
Filed under: uncultured bacterium
Lineage: Bacteria
Description: partial 16S ribosomal RNA
Rfam family: Bacterial small subunit ribosomal RNA
Source: RNAcentral